AUUGAACGCUGGCGGAAUGCUUUACACAUGCAAGUCGAACGGUAGAGGGGGCAACCCCUUGAGAGUGGCGAACGGGUGAGUAAUAUAUCGGAACGUGCCCAGUCGUGGGGAUAACGUAGCGAAAGCUACGCUAAUACCGCAUACGAUCUAUGGAUGAAAGCGGGGGAUCGCAAGACCUCGCGCGAUUGGAGCGGCCGAUAUCAGAUUAGGUAGUUGGUGAGGUAAAGGCUCACCAAGCCGACGAUCUGUAGCUGGUCUGAGAGGACGACCAGCCACACUGGGACUGAGACACGGCCCAGACUCCUACGGGAGGCAGCAGUGGGGAAUUUUUGGGACAAUGGGCGCAAGCCUGAUCCAGCAAUGCCGCGUGCAGGAUGAAGG
This 381-nucleotide ribosomal RNA is filed under the name uncultured bacterium. RNAcentral describes it as "bacterial SSU rRNA". It matches the Rfam family "Bacterial small subunit ribosomal RNA", at positions 30 to 414 of the family's 1533-position model. The record is from RNAcentral.